This is a non-coding RNA of Podarcis lilfordi (Lilford's wall lizard), 72 nucleotides long. The record is from the annotation of a GenBank genome assembly. Lineage: Eukaryota; Metazoa; Chordata; Lepidosauria; Squamata; Lacertidae.
UGCAUAGCUCAACUGGGUAGAGCGUGGGGCUGAUAAGUCCAAGGUUGCAGGUUUGAUCCCUAUCUGGGACAG